RNAcentral lists this ribosomal RNA (492 nucleotides) under uncultured bacterium. RNAcentral's name for it is "partial 16S ribosomal RNA". It matches the Rfam family "Bacterial small subunit ribosomal RNA", at positions 29 to 507 of the family's 1533-position model. The record is from RNAcentral.
AGUGAACGCUGGCGGUAGGCCUAACACAUGCAAGUCGAACGGCAGCACAGUAAGAGCUUGCUCUUACGGGUGGCGAGUGGCGGACGGGUGAGGAAUACAUCGGAAUCUACUUUUUCGUGGGGGAUAACGUAGGGAAACUUACGCUAAUACCGCAUACGACCUACGGGUGAAAGCAGGGGAUCUUCGGACCUUGCGCGAUUGAAUGAGCCGAUGUCGGAUUAGCUAGUUGGCGGGGUAAAGGCCCACCAAGGCGACGAUCCGUAGCUGGUCUGAGAGGAUGAUCAGCCACACUGGAACUGAGACACGGUCCAGACUCCUACGGGAGGCAGCAGUUGGGAAUAUUUGACAAGUGGCGCAAGCCUAAUCCAGCCAUACCGCGUGGGUGAAGAAGGCCUUCGGGUUGUAAAGCCCUUUUGUUGGGAAAGAAAAGCAGCAGGUUAAUACCCCGCUGUUCUGACGGUACCCAAAGAAUAAGCACCGGCUAAGUUCGUG